GCUACCGCCUGGCUCACGAUUUAACAGUGUAGCUCUUCGGUUAGCGCAGCACAGAGGAUAACGGUGCACGACGACAUCACUAAUUCAAGCUAUGUCUUAGUUGCAUAUGAAGAGUUUCAUGUUUAGGGGAGCCAUGGAAGGCAUGAAUUCUACGAGCUGUUACUUCAAGCCAUGGUGUCAGGAUAUAAGAGGAAUUAUGUCCACUUUAAUUAAAGCAUUUUCUUUUAAGUGCUUUUUAUAUUAAAGAAAUCAAUAUUACAGCAAACGGAUACAUACCAGAAUUUC
Molecule: long non-coding RNA, 285 nt
Organism: Polypterus senegalus (gray bichir)
Lineage: Eukaryota; Metazoa; Chordata; Cladistia; Polypteriformes; Polypteridae
Exons: 2
Source: RefSeq, a predicted model, not a curated record